ACCUGGCUGGCUCAGCUGGAAGAGCUUAUGGCUCUUGAUCUUGGGGUUGUGAGUUCGAACCUCAUGCUGGGUG
RNAcentral lists this transfer RNA (73 nucleotides) under Felis catus (domestic cat). It matches the Rfam family "tRNA". From Rfam's summary of the family: Transfer RNA (tRNA) molecules are approximately 80 nucleotides in length. Their secondary structure includes four short double-helical elements and three loops (D, anti-codon, and T loops). The record is from Rfam by way of RNAcentral. Lineage: Eukaryota; Metazoa; Chordata; Mammalia; Carnivora; Felidae.